This is a long non-coding RNA of Vulpes vulpes (red fox), 2155 nucleotides long. The record is from Ensembl. Lineage: Eukaryota; Metazoa; Chordata; Mammalia; Carnivora; Canidae.
AUGAGAUGGUUUCUCAAAUGCUUUGCAAGUGUGUAAAAAGGUGAAAGUUAUACACAUUUUCACUAAUAACAUUUCACAACAUAAAGUCUUAAGGGUGACAAAAUUACCUGUCUCCUUUUCUGGAAGUAAUAUGAAAAUGAAAGAAAGCCAAAUACCAUUCUUUCUACCAUUUUAGAUUUUUUGUUCUUAACAUAUAUUAAAGUCCACACUACUAAAAUUCCAAUCCAUGCCACACUAAUCUUCAGCCUGUCACACGUGAUCCAGACAGUUCAACGACACUUAGAAGCACGUUGCAGCUUCUUCAAGCGUUUGCUCACACAUGUGCUCCAUCUGGGUGAUCCUCCCCACAUCCACCUCACCACAAUUGUAAAUUAGAACAACAUUUCUAUGUCCUAUUCAAAUGUUUGCUUUCUCCUCUGCUGCAGUCAGGAAUCAUAAGCUUUCUGAGUGUGAAAAGGCAGCAGAGGUAAAAUCCACAAAAGAGAUCUAAGUUCCAUAAAAUACCUCCAGAGGGUUGGUGAUCCAGGGAACAAAGAGCUUCCCUGGCUGUGAGGAGACCAGAUCAGUAUCAAAUCUGCUGUCUGUGCUAGAAACAACUCCCCCAACAGGUGCUCACCCUGCUAUUUGCUUUCCCCAUGUGAUGAGUGCAGAUUAAAUCAAGAAGUCAAUGGAGUGAGAGAGAGAGAGAGAGAGAGAUGUUUUACCUUCUCAGGAUGAACAACUUGUCAGCAUGACUGUGUGCCGGGGCGAGGCGAUGUUGAGAAAAUGCUUGGAAGCCACUGUUGAGAGAUGAAGCGCUUUUAAAAAGAUUCCAACAAGUGACUCUUAUCAAUGUGGACAUUAUGAAGGUCUAUGUUUACUACAGGUGAGAGAUCAUUGAGCCAUAUGAAUCUUUCUUAAAUGCAAAAGAGAAUUUUGAAGAGUCAGAACCUGUAUGAAUCUUUUCCCUCUCCCCCUCCUCCCUCAUGCUCUGGCUGUGUGACAGGUGGGGUUUUCUGGAUGAUACCUCAUUCCCUGCGAUCCUGUUUGUCCACUACUGGAAAAGCCAAAAUACAUUUCAUUCCACCUGACACGUGCUGGGGACAAGCUUGCCUACAAAUGCCCACGGGAACUGGCUCAGAUGGGCUUUCUCUAAUAGUCCUGCCUUUGUUGUGAAACCUCCAGCAGCACCUACUAACUAUGAAAUAGAGGCCUUUGCCGCCUGGCCCCUGCUGACUUUUUCCAUCUCAACUCUAGUUUUUACAUACGUGCAUGUUGCAUUCUAGCCACACCAAACUAUUAAAAAGUUUUUAAAGAAUGUAAAUCUUCCAUUUUUUAUUCUUUCACUUCUGUAUAUAUUUUUCUUCAGAUGUUCCUAGUACACUGACAGUAAUCAUCAAGUUAUUAUUCAGAUGUCAUGUCUUCAAUUUCCAAGACAGAAUCAACAUUAGUGGCACAUCCUAAAUAAUGUUCUGUGGACACGUGCAUGUAUUGCAAGCGUGAUUACUGGUCUACCCCCAGAACUGGCUGUAGCAUCCAGGGACAAGAACCCUAUCUCAUUUAUUUUACAAAGCACUUUCUGAGGUGCAUGGCACAUAUCAAAUGCUCUCUAAAAAAAUAUUUAUAAAUAGCCAUUUCUCAAAUUCUGCUAGUUAAGAUAAACACACGUAUUUACACUUUUCAAUCUAUUAUUAAAAUGGUUAUUAAUGAUGGAUGUGGCAUUAUCCAGAUUACUAAUGCUGGGUUAGAAAGCUAGAAAGAGAAAGCUACCUCUCACCUAGAAGAGCAACUCUCUGAAGCCCAGGAACCUUAAAUAGUGCUUUUAGGUUCAGAAACCUCCAGAUGCUUCUAGACUUCAUUCUUGCAAAUUUCAAGGCAAUCUCCCCCGGUUUAGACAUAGAAAGAGGAGUGAUAUGGAAUAUAUUUUACAGUAAACAGGCAGAAAAAGGAACAAAGAUUUUUGUGACAAUCACUUGAAGCUCAAACCACCUUCCCCACAACAUCUGUUCUAUCUCAGAGAGACACAGAGCAGGGAUUCUGAAAUUACACAGCAUGCAGAAAAAGGGACUCCCUCACCGGGGCUCUCUAACCUCGGGAUGAGGCCUACAGCAUUUAGCUCCUGCCUCAGGUGGCCACUAGGCUUAAGGAAGAAAGUAGAUGGUGGUCCCCUGAGGUU